AUUGAUGGAAUCACUUACUUAUGUGCUACAGACAAUGCAUCGGAUACUAUAGCACCAUCUAUAUUUCUUGAAAAAGUUAGUGAUACUUUUUUGCAGGAUCCUUUGAUGUCAGAAGAACAUUUUUCUCCUUCCAAUGCAGUUGCGGCAGAUUUUCAGCAAGUACUAGGAAAAUAUAUGAUGAAGUUCAAUAAAAGUCAAGGAGAAAACAAUAUUUCUACACUGAGAAGUCAAGUGAAUGAUGUAGCAAAUAUUAU
Echinops telfairi (small Madagascar hedgehog) is the source of this 254-nucleotide long non-coding RNA. RefSeq lists it as uncharacterized. The transcript is spliced from 3 exons. The record is from RefSeq and is a predicted model, not a curated record. NCBI's taxonomy places the organism in Eukaryota, Metazoa, Chordata, Mammalia, Afrosoricida, Tenrecidae.